AAUAGAUACCCAGGUAGUCCACGCCCUAAACGAUGUCUACUAGUUGUCGGGUUUUAAUUAACUUGGUAACGCAGCUAACGCGUGAAGUAGACCGCCUGGGGAGUACGGUCGCAAGAUUAAAACUCAAAGGAAUUGACGGGGACCCGCACAAGCGGUGGAUGAUGUGGAUUAAUUCGAUGCAACGCGAAAAACCUUACCUACCCUUGACAUGUCAGGAAUCCUGGAGAGAUCUGGGAGUGCCCGAAAGGGAGCCUGAACACAGGUGCUGCAUGGCUGUCGUCAGCUCGUGUCGUGAGAUGUUGGGUUAAGUCCCGCAACGAGCGCAACCCUUGUCAUUAGUUGCUACGAAAGGGCACUCUAAUGAGACUGCCGGUGACAAACCGGAGGAAGGUGGGGAUGACGUCAAGUCCUCAUGGCCCUUAUGGGUAGGGCUUCACACGUCAUACAAUGGUACAUACAGAGGGCUGCCAACCCGCGAGGGGAGCUAAUCCCAGAAAGUGUAUCGUAGUCCGGAUUGGAGUCUGCAACUCGACUCC
RNAcentral lists this ribosomal RNA (536 nucleotides) under uncultured bacterium. RNAcentral's name for it is "bacterial SSU rRNA". It matches the Rfam family "Bacterial small subunit ribosomal RNA", at positions 777 to 1319 of the family's 1533-position model. The record is from RNAcentral.